UCUUAUAUUCAUGAAAACAUAAUAGGUUCACAUAUGAAAUCAUGGCACUCGGGCCCUAGUGACAAGCAUUAAGCAUAGCAAAGUCAUAGCAACAUCAAUCCCCGAAUAUAGUGGAUACUAGGGAUUAAACCCUAUCAAAUUAACUCGAUUUCAUGAUCAAUUUCAUCCACACCCAUCACCGACCAACAAGCCUACAAAGUAAUUACUCACUCCUAGUGUUGAGCAUCAUGGGAUAGUUGAUGGAGAAGGUUUGGUGAUGACGACGACGAAGAAUCCCAAUCUCCGGAGCCCCAAACAGACUCC
This 303-nucleotide long non-coding RNA is filed under the name Hordeum vulgare. RNAcentral describes it as "long non-coding RNA (HVUL_LNC012498)". Lineage: Eukaryota; Viridiplantae; Streptophyta; Magnoliopsida; Poales; Poaceae. The record is from RNAcentral.